This is a non-coding RNA of Schistosoma rodhaini, 45 nucleotides long. Lineage: Eukaryota; Metazoa; Platyhelminthes; Trematoda; Strigeidida; Schistosomatidae. The record is from Rfam.
AUGCAGAUGGCGAGUUCCAAAUGGGACGAAACGCGUGUCCUGCAU